CCUACGGGAGGCAGCAGUGAGGAAUAUUGGUCAAUGGACGAGAGUCUGAACCAGCCAAGUAGCGUGAAGGAUGACUGCCCUAUGAGUUGUAAACUUCUUUUAUAAAGGAAUAAAACGAGGCACGCGUACCUUUCUGCAUGUACUUUAUGAAUAAGGAUCGGCUAACUCCGUGCCAGCAGCCGCGGUAAUACGGAGGAUCCAAGCGUUAUCCGGAUUUAUUGGGUUUAAAGGGUGCGUAGAUGGGUUGUUAAGUUAGUUGUGAAAGUCCGAGGCUCAACCUUAGAAUUGCAAUUGAUACUGGCAGGCUUGAGUACAGUUGAGGUAGGCGGAAUUCGUGGUGUAGCGGUGAAAUGCUUAGAUAUCACACAGAACACCGAUUGCGAAGGCAGCUUACUAAGCUGUGACUGACGUUGAUGCUCGAAAGUGUGGGGAGCAAACAGGAUUAGAUACCCGAGUAGUC
RNAcentral lists this ribosomal RNA (460 nucleotides) under uncultured bacterium. Its description in RNAcentral is "partial 16S ribosomal RNA". It matches the Rfam family "Bacterial small subunit ribosomal RNA", at positions 338 to 795 of the family's 1533-position model. The record is from RNAcentral.